CCGGCGGCUUCGGUAUCGCCUGAUACAGCCUGCCGCGUGAGUGAAGAAGGCCUUCGGGUUGUAAACUCUUUCAGUCAGGAGGAAAGGUUAGUAGUUAAUACCUGCUAGCUGUGACGUUACUGACAGAAGAAGCACCGGCUAACUCCGUGCCAGCAGCCGCGGUAAUACCUACGUGCCAGCAGCCGCGGUAAUACAUCGGUGCCGAAGCCUUGUUUUAUUUUCUUUGGGCAUCGGCAGUGACACAAAUUA
RNAcentral lists this ribosomal RNA (249 nucleotides) under uncultured Pseudoalteromonas sp. RNAcentral describes it as "partial 16S ribosomal RNA". The stretch from base 1 to 180 matches the Rfam family "Bacterial small subunit ribosomal RNA", at positions 372 to 539 of the family's 1533-position model. The record is from RNAcentral. Lineage: Bacteria; Pseudomonadati; Pseudomonadota; Gammaproteobacteria; Alteromonadales; Pseudoalteromonadaceae.